UCAAUACAAUUUGAUUAUAAUAGAAUUACUUUUAUUAGAGUAUAAUGAAUUUAAAUUAAUAAAUCAUUUUUGUGUUAGUGUAUUGGUUAGGGAAUUAAUUAUUUAGGUUAUAUAUGAUUUGUACUGUAAAGGAUAAUUAUUAGGUUGUUAAGUUAAUUUAAAAGUAGAAUUAAUUUUUUGUACCUUUUGUAUCAGGGUUGAUUAAAUGGAUAAUAUCUAUAAUUAUUUAUCUCGAUUUUAUUAGAUCUAAUGUAUUAAGUUGGUUGUUGUAAUAAAAAUAUCAAUAAUAAUAUAUUAGUGAUGAAAUGUUAUUCGUUAAUAAUGGUAUCUAGUUUUCUAGGAAAUAAGUUUAAUUUAUUUCCCUUCUUUAAAGAAUUUUCUUUUUAGACUCUUUUUAGUUAGGAAAAAUAAAUAAGGGGAUAAGCUCUUAUUUAAAUUUUUAUAAGAUAUAUAUAUUAGAAAAAGUGUAAUGGAUUUAAUAUUGAUUAUUAUUAUGAAUAUGUUAUAAUUUUACUUUUAUAAUUUAUUAUUUAUUUUUCUUUAAAAAAAUUUACUGGAAUAUUAUUAAUAAUUGAUUAUAUUUAUCAAAAAUGAUUAAAUUAGUAUAUAAUGUAUUUUUGUUGAUAAAUAGUUUUAAGGAACUAGGCAAAAUUAUUUAUCCGCCUGUUUAACAAAAACAUCUUUUCUUGUAUUAAUAUGAAGUAUGGCCUGCCCAAUGAAUUUUUUUAAUGGCCGCGGUAUUUUGACCGUGCAAAGGUAGCAUAAUCAUUAGUCUUUUUAUUGAGGACUGGAAUGAAUGGUUUGACGAGAUAAAGUCUGUCUUUACUUUAUUUAUUAAAAUUUAAUUUCUGAGUAAAAAAGCUUAGAUUCAAUUAUGGGACGAGAAGACCCUAUAGAGUUUAUAUAAUUGUAUUAUGAUUUCAAAUGGUGUUAAAGUUUAUGAUUAAUACAAUUAUUUGGUUGGGGUGAUUAGAAGAUAGAAGUAACUCUUCUUUAUUAAUAGAUAUUAAUUAGUAGUAUAAUGAUCCACUAAUAGUGAUUAGAAGACUAAAUUACCUUAGGGAUAACAGCGUAAUCUUUUUUGAGAGUUCUAAUUGACAAUAAGGGUUGCGACCUCGAUGUUGGAUUAAGAUGAUUUCUGGGUGUAGAAGCUUGGGAUUAUAGGUCUGUUCGACCUUUAAAUUCUUACAUGAUCUGAGUUCAGACCGGCGUGAGCCAGGUUGGUUUCUAUCUAUUAUAAAUUAAUAUACUUUAGUACGAAAGGACCAAGUAUUAUAAAUAAUUUCUUUAUUUGUGAUUAUUAAUACUAUUUUGACAGAAAAGUGUAGUAGAUUUAGAAUCUAUAAAUGUGGUGUUAAGCUACAAAUAGU
This 1370-nucleotide ribosomal RNA is filed under the name Blaberus sp. B007. RNAcentral's name for it is "16S ribosomal RNA". The stretch from base 875 to 1235 matches the Rfam family "Archaeal large subunit ribosomal RNA", at positions 2152 to 2714 of the family's 2987-position model. Lineage: Eukaryota; Metazoa; Arthropoda; Insecta; Blattodea; Blaberidae. The record is from RNAcentral.